RNAcentral lists this ribosomal RNA (253 nucleotides) under uncultured bacterium. Its description in RNAcentral is "partial 16S ribosomal RNA". It matches the Rfam family "Bacterial small subunit ribosomal RNA", at positions 524 to 776 of the family's 1533-position model. The record is from RNAcentral.
UACGGAGGGUGCAAGCGUUGUCCGGAUUUAUUGGGCGUAAAGAGCUCGUAGGCGGCUUGUUACGUCGACUGUGAAAACCCGCGGCUCAACUGCGGGCCUGCAGUCGAUACGGGCAGGCUAGAGUUCGGUAGGGGAGACUGGAAUUCCUGGUGUAGCGGUGAAAUGCGCAGAUAUCAGGAGGAACACCGGUGGCGAAGGCGGGUCUCUGGGCCGUUACUGACGCUGAGGAGCGAAAGCGUGGGGAGCGAACAGG